Small nucleolar RNA from Erinaceus europaeus (western European hedgehog), 64 nucleotides. Ensembl annotates it as small nucleolar RNA, C/D box 48. Its record names the gene SNORD48. Lineage: Eukaryota; Metazoa; Chordata; Mammalia; Eulipotyphla; Erinaceidae. The record is from Ensembl.
GAUGAUGACGACCCCAGGUGAAUCUGAGUGUUUCGCUGACGCCAUUCACCGCAGCGCGCUGACU